UACAGAGGGUGCGAGCGUUAAUCGGAAUUACUGGGCGUAAAGCGUGCGCAGGCGGUUUUGUAAGUCAGAUGUGAAAUCCCCGGGCUUAACCUGGGAAUGGCAUUUGGGACUGCAAGGCUCGAGUGCGGCAGAGGAGACUGGAAUUCCUGGUGUAGCAGUGAAAUGCGUAGAUAUCAGGAGGAACACCGAUGGCGAAGGCAGGUCUCUGGGCUGACACUGACGCUCAUGCACGAAAGCGUGGGGAGCAAACAGG
Molecule: ribosomal RNA, 253 nt
Filed under: uncultured bacterium
Lineage: Bacteria
Description: partial 16S ribosomal RNA
Rfam family: Bacterial small subunit ribosomal RNA
Source: RNAcentral